UUUGCAGAGGGCGCUUUGGCAUUGGCAGCGGUCCAAGUUCCUUGGAACAGGACGUCACAGAGGGUGAGAAUCCCGUACGUGGUCGCUAGCCUUUACCGUGUAAAGCCCCUUCGACGAGUCGAGUUGUUUGGGAAUGCAGCUCUAAAUGGGAGGUAAAUUUCUUCUAAAGCUAAAUACUGGCCAGAGACCGAUAGCGCACAAGUAGAGUGAUCGAAAGAUGAAAAGCACUUUGGAAAGAGAGUUAAAAAGCACGUGAAAUUGUUGAAGGGGAAGCGCUUGCAACCUCACUUGCCUGUAGUUGCUCAUCCGGGUUUCUACCCGGUGCACUCUUCUAUAGGCAGGCCAGCAUCAUUUUGGGCGGUUGGAUAAAGGACUCUGUCAUGUACCUCCUUUCGGGGAGAACUUAUAGGGGAGACGACUUGCAACCAGCCCGGACUGAGGUCCGCGCAUCUGCUAGGAUGCUGGCGUAUUGGCUGUAAGCGGCCCGUCUUGAAACACGGACCAAGGAGUCUAACAUCUAUGCGAGUGUUUGGGUGUCAAGCCCGAACGCGUAAUGAAAGUGAACGGAGGUGGGAACCUUUCGGGGUGCACCAUCGACCGAUCCUGAUGUCUUCGGAUGU
This 620-nucleotide ribosomal RNA is filed under the name Phoma sp. ITCC 4967. Its description in RNAcentral is "eukaryotic LSU rRNA". It matches the Rfam family "Eukaryotic large subunit ribosomal RNA", at positions 149 to 787 of the family's 3401-position model. Lineage: Eukaryota; Fungi; Ascomycota; Dothideomycetes; Pleosporales; Didymellaceae. The record is from RNAcentral.